GACGAACGCUGGCGGCGUGCCUAAUACAUGCAAGUAGAACGCUGAAGAGAGGAGCUUACUCUUCUUGGAUGAGUUGCGAACGGGUGAGUAACGCGUAGGUAACCUGCCUUGUAGCGGGGGAUAACUAUUGGAAACGAUAGCUAAUACCGCAUAACAAUGGAUGACACAUGUCAUUUAUUUGAAAGGGGCAAUUGCUCCACUACAAGAUGGACCUGCGUUGUAUUAGCUAGUAGGUGAGGUAAUGGCUCACCUAGGCGACGAUACAUAGCCGACCUGAGAGGGUGAUCGGCCACACUGGGACUGAGACACGGCCCAGACUCCUACGGGAGGCAGCAGUAGGGAAGCUUCGGCAAUGGGGGCAACCCUGACCGAGCAACGCCGCGGGAGUGAAGAAGGGUUUCGGAUCGUAAAGCUCUGUUGUAAGUCAAGAACGGGUGUGAGAGUGGAAAGUUCACACUGUGACGGUAGCUUACCAGAAAGGGACGGCUAACUACGUG
RNAcentral lists this ribosomal RNA (497 nucleotides) under uncultured bacterium. Its description in RNAcentral is "partial 16S ribosomal RNA". It matches the Rfam family "Bacterial small subunit ribosomal RNA", at positions 28 to 507 of the family's 1533-position model. The record is from RNAcentral.